CGCCAGACUCCUACGGGAGGCAGCAGUGGGGAAUAUUGCACAAUGGGGGAAACCCUGAUGCAGCGACGCCGCGUGAGCGAUGAGGUAUUUCGGUAUGUAAAGCUCUAUCAGCAGGGAAGAAAAUGACGGUACCUGACUAAGAAGCCCCGGCUAACUACGUGCCAGCAGCCGCGGUAAUACGUAGGGGGCAAGCGUUAUCCGGAUUUACUGGGUGUAAAGGGAGCGUAGACGGUUAUGCAAGUCUGAAGUGAAAGCCCAAGGCUCAACCAUGGGACUGCUUUGGAAACUGUAAAACUGGAGUGCAGGAGAGGUAAGCGGAAUUCCUAGUGUAGCGGUGAAAUGCGUAGAUAUUAGGAGGAACACCAGUGGCGAAGGCGGCUUACUGGACUGUAACUGACGUUGAGGCUCGAAGGCGUGGGGAGCAAACAGGAUUAGAUACCCCAGUA
Molecule: ribosomal RNA, 446 nt
Filed under: uncultured bacterium
Lineage: Bacteria
Description: bacterial SSU rRNA
Rfam family: Bacterial small subunit ribosomal RNA
Source: RNAcentral